RNAcentral lists this ribosomal RNA (253 nucleotides) under uncultured Oscillospira sp. RNAcentral's name for it is "partial 16S ribosomal RNA". It matches the Rfam family "Bacterial small subunit ribosomal RNA", at positions 524 to 776 of the family's 1533-position model. Lineage: Bacteria; Bacillati; Bacillota; Clostridia; Eubacteriales; Oscillospiraceae. The record is from RNAcentral.
UACGUAGGGGGCAAGCGUUAUCCGGAUUUACUGGGUGUAAAGGGCGUGUAGGCGGGAAUGCAAGUCAGAUGUGAAAACUAUGGGCUCAACCCAUAGCCUGCAUUUGAAACUGUAUUUCUUGAGUGCUGGAGAGGCAAUCGGAAUUCCGUGUGUAGCGGUGAAAUGCAUAGAUAUCGCGCAGAACCCCGAUUGCGAAGGCAGCCUGCCGGCCCCACACUGACGCUGAGGCACGAAAGCGUGGGUAUCGAACAGG